AGUAGAAAGAGUCAUGCUGCCCGUUCAACAUCAAUUCGGAUUAAUGAAGUUUGGAGUUCUGAAGAAUUAUCCACCGAAUUUCGAUCCGGCUGUGAUGGCAGCUGCUAUAGCUUCGAAUCAUGGUUAAAUUUAAAUACUUUAUACCAUUUCUUAAACUUAUUGCACUUACGCGAUAACGACGUAGGAAUUUUAAUUUUUUUAUGUAAUAUUUCAAAACAAACAUUAUCCCAUUAAAGAGGUAAUGCUUAUACUCAUAUUAAUAAUGCUGUAAAUAUAUUUUAACGUAAAAUAGAUAAAGAAACUUUCGAAUUAGACGCCCGAUAUAUUAAACUUCCAUACGAUAAAGUUUUUAUUUUUUUUUUGAUUAUUUUCGAUUGAGUCUAAUGUGUUCUCCUUAUCAUUUUUGUCUCUUUUAUUUUUUACAUUCUUGAGCGUAUUGUAAAAUUAACAGGUUUUAAAAUAAAUAAUUUCCUCUUUACAACUAUACAAGAAAAAGAAAAAGAAAGAAACGAAAUAAGGGAAGAUAUUAAGGCACUAUAAAAGCAAAAAUUCUUUUCUAUAGGCUUACGCUUUUGUUGCCUAUUCUUAUCUUUAUCUUCUUUCAAAUCUUCAGUAGUUUCAUAAAAUUGUAAAAAAUAGAAAAGGCCAGAAGGAAACUAGAUUAAUGCCCAGAUAAUACCCGAGAUGGUAAACACAAGUCGACAAUAGCAUUUUUGAGUAGGCUAAAAACUUUUCUGUACGCUGUACUAUCAGGACACCUGGUCGGUUUUCGCAUAUAAUCUCGAUUAUCUCGUGAGACCGUCAAGAUGCUGACAGACUUUAUUAAAGCAUCGUUAAUCUUUUUUAAUACAGCGAACAAGAGUAUGCCUAUUCACUGUAUUGUUGAGAAGACGCCCUCGACUGUCGAAGUUGACAGUUACGCAAUUUUAUCAAAUUCGACGCCGUUCAACGAAAUAGUCGGAACAGCCCUUCAGAAACUUGGAUUCUCAACAUCCCAAAGUGUUGGAGCAAAAGGUUGGUAUAAGUAAUAAGGAAUUUUAAUAUUGAAAACGAGAUUUGUAUAGAAGAAUAUUGUGCCUAUUCAAAACGCAUCUAAAGAAUGAGAUUAGUCAGACCGACGCCAAGCUGGUCAGUGAAAUUGCCUGACAAAAAUUUCGCUCGUUCAUCUUUAUAGGCCUAUAAUGGCGAUUAAUUACUAUAAAUAAAAACGACGCCCUAUUAUUAAAGAGAAAGCGAUAGAGAAAAGAGUGACUAAAAGAGGGGCGGGAAAGAUUUAUAGACGAAUAGAUCAUGAAAUCGAAUGUUUACUCGAAAAUUCAACUAUUAAUCCCUUUUUGUUUAUUUUACUGGCGUAUUGAAAGUGAAUUUUUUUUAUAAUCCUACGAAGAAGAACGAUAAGUAGGUGCGAAUGGUAAUUAAACAAAAUAGGGUAUAUUUUUCUCGGCAAAUUUCUUUAACAAUCGUUAAUAAGAAGUAAAUAACAUUUAAAGUGUUACGAAUUAGUGUAAUUUUUUUCUCCUUUCCCCUCUUGAUGAACAAACUGUUUGUCUCACAAAUUCAACACUAUGAAAACUCAAUUGCAAUUGAUCACGUGAUUCAAAAAAAAAGUUUGAUCGAUAUUGAAAAGAAUUUUUGUUCGGAGCAUAUUGCCUCUAUUCAAAGCGCAUCCUAAAUGGGAUUAGACUGACUGACGCCAAAUUUAGUCAGUGAAAUCGCCCCUACGUGGAAAUUAAUUGGUUUUCUUAAAACUUUUACUGAGCCUAAUUACAAGGCACCGCGACGACUAUAGUCGCUAAACACAUUUUUUUCGCGCCACUUUCUAAAAACAGUCCUCACGUUUAAUUAUAGAGAACGUUGCCGCACCUACCUUUUUUGUUUAUGCCGACAGGUACCAUACAAAUAAAAAAUUGGAAAGCACUGACGUUCGAUACGAUUACCGAUAAUCCGGAUGCUACUGUUGAAGAUUUACUGGCUGAUUUGACAUCAGUUGUAACAUUGAGAAUUCGCCUUUGCAGCUCGUCUAGAGUAAGCGCGAUAGACGAAAUCAAAGAGAAGCUGCUCAAGUUUCUGCUUACGCGUUCUAUAGUUACGCUCCAAAACGCCGGCUGUCCGAUCGAUCAGAAUUUAUUGAAUCGCUUCGCUAACGGAGACUUCACCGUGUCGGAAGCCACAGCUAAAACAUUCGAUCAAUGGUAUAAAAAGCAAUCGGAAGAAAAAGUUUUACUAAAUGGAGGUGGAAUUGGAAUUUCACCAGGCAAUGGAAUGGGAGGGGUAGGGGUUGGUUUAGGUGGUCUAGGAGGUACCUCCUCAGACGAAGCCGCUAAGAGAGCCAGAACGAGCUUUGACCCAGAACACGAGAUUCCAAGACUUCAGACUUGGUUUAAAGAAUGCCAGCAUCCCAGUAAGGAGCAGAUGACCACUUUCUUAGAUGAACUUAAUUCACUCGAAUCGAGGAAGGGUAGAAAGCCGUUGGAUUUAACAAAUAUUGUUUACUGGUUUAAGAACACAAGAGCAGCCAUGAAGAGGUCUCAAAAUAAGUAUAUGACGGAUGAGAAUGAAAAUGAGGCCGUUCAGUCGGCUGACGCUGAGAGUGAAGGUUCCCGAGUACCAGAACUGCCAAAUUCAAAUGCCAUUUAUGUUUUCAAUCCUAACAAUGAGGAGGAGGAGGAAGAGGAUGAUUUCAAUGAAUCUGAGUCAGAUUUUGAAGAGGAGAAAGUUAAGAAAGAGCACCAUGAGGGAUCAUCAUCCAUCAAACAAGAACCGGAAAAUAUAAAGAAGCGACAUCUAUCGGAAGAUGAUGAUGAACCUCGCCAUGUUACUCCUCCGGCCUUUCCAACAUUUCCGCCUUUUACAAGUCAAUCACAGGCCCUGCACAAUGCAAUGCUCCACAAUCCAUUAGCAGCAGCUGCGUCAAUGCAGCUAUUUCAUCCAGCAGCAGCAGCGUUAUACACUCCAUCGAUACUAAACACUCCAAACGCUCACGCGCAACAAUACCCAUCUCCAACUUCGGCACCAGGUCCGAAUGAAACACCGACACCUCCUAGUGGAAGUAGUUUACCAAAUGAUGAGAGAAAGAAGAGGUCAAGAGUGUUCAUUGAUCCACUCUCAGAAAUUCCAAAAUUGGAAAAGUGGUUUGGCGAAGACACGCAUCCAAGUUCGUAUAUGAUCGAAAAGUAUACUGAAGAGUUGAAUAGAAGCGAAUACAGACAUAGAUUUCCCAGAUUGGAACCGAAAAAUGUUCAAUUAUGGUUUAAGAACCAUAGAGCCAAGGUCAAGAGAGCGAGGCUGGAAUUGCCCAGUCAGAAUUCGGAUUUAGUUCAGGACGUUUAAUUACGUACUUUUCACAUCUGCACAGUUUUUGCACACUUACAAAACUAGUCCUGCUCUGCGUUCAAUUCAGAGUGCAAAAAUUUUUUUUUUGUUUCUUUAUGUUUACUUACAUAUACAGUAUAUAUA
This 3456-nucleotide unclassified non-coding RNA is filed under the name Dimorphilus gyrociliatus. RNAcentral describes it as "dgyrCDS3324". The record is from RNAcentral. Lineage: Eukaryota; Metazoa; Annelida; Polychaeta; Dinophilidae.